This 74-nucleotide transfer RNA is filed under the name Candidatus Kerfeldbacteria bacterium RIFCSPHIGHO2_12_FULL_48_17. RNAcentral's name for it is "tRNA-Pro". It matches the Rfam family "tRNA". Rfam says of the family: Transfer RNA (tRNA) molecules are approximately 80 nucleotides in length. Their secondary structure includes four short double-helical elements and three loops (D, anti-codon, and T loops). Lineage: Bacteria; Candidatus Kerfeldiibacteriota. The record is from RNAcentral.
CGGGGCGUGGCGCAGUUGGCUAGCGCGCCUGCUUUGGGAGCAGGAGGUCGUGAGUUCAAGUCUCACCGCCCCGA